UACGUAGGGUGCAGGCGUUAAUCGGAAUUACUGGGCGUAAAGCGUGCGCAGGCGGCUCCUUAAGUCAGAUGUGAAAGCCCCGGGCUUAACCUGGGAACUGCGUUUGAGACUGGGGAGCUAGAGUGUAGAAGAGGGGGGUGGAAUUCCAGGUGUAGCAGUGAAAUGCGUAGAGAUCUGGAGGAACACCGAUGGCGAAGGCAGGUCUCUGGGCUGACACUGACGCUCAUGCACGAAAGCGUGGGGAGCAAACAGG
This 253-nucleotide ribosomal RNA is filed under the name uncultured bacterium. RNAcentral's name for it is "partial 16S ribosomal RNA". It matches the Rfam family "Bacterial small subunit ribosomal RNA", at positions 524 to 776 of the family's 1533-position model. The record is from RNAcentral.